CCCUUAGAUGUUCUGGGCUGCACGCGCGCUACACUGAUGCACUCAACGAGUUUACACCCUUGCCUGGAAAGGUUGGGUAAUCUUUUGAAAAUGCAUCGUGAUGGGGAUAGAUUAUUGCAAGUAUUAAUCUUCAACGAGGAAUUCCUAGUAGACGUAGUUCAUCAGACUGCAUCGAUUACGUCCCUGCCCUUUGUACACACCGCCCGUCGCUCCUACCGAUUGAAUGCUCAGGUGAGCCAUUCGGACUUUCAUCAUGCUGGUUUCCAGUUUUGAUGAAGGAAAGUCUUGCGAACCUUAUCAUUUAGAGGAAGGAGAAGUCGUAACA
RNAcentral lists this ribosomal RNA (325 nucleotides) under uncultured eukaryote. Its description in RNAcentral is "partial 18S ribosomal RNA". It matches the Rfam family "Eukaryotic small subunit ribosomal RNA", at positions 1470 to 1796 of the family's 1831-position model. The record is from RNAcentral.